This 911-nucleotide ribosomal RNA is filed under the name uncultured Sphaerochaeta sp. Its description in RNAcentral is "bacterial SSU rRNA". It matches the Rfam family "Bacterial small subunit ribosomal RNA", at positions 11 to 914 of the family's 1533-position model. Lineage: Bacteria; Pseudomonadati; Spirochaetota; Spirochaetia; Spirochaetales; Sphaerochaetaceae. The record is from RNAcentral.
GUUUGAUCCUGGCUCAGAACGAACGCUGGCGGCGCGUUUUAAGCAUGCAAGUCGAGCGGCAAGGGCCUUUGGGCCCCUAGAGCGGCGGACGGGUGAGUAACACGUGGACAAUCUGCCCCCCGGCCGGGGAUAGCCCAGGGAAACCUGGAUUAAUACCGGAUGAGACGGGACCCGCGGAGGCGGGAUCCGGGAAAGGCGCUGCGGCGCCGCCGGGGGAUGAGUCUGCGUCCCAUUAGCUAGACGGCGGGGUGAAGGCCCACCGUGGCGACGAUGGGUAGCCGGCCUGAGAGGGUGGACGGCCACAUUGGAACUGAGACACGGUCCAGACUCCUACGGGAGGCAGCAGCUAAGAAUCUUCCGCAAUGGGCGAAAGCCUGACGGAGCGACGCCGCGUGAACGAAGAAGGCCGUGAGGUUGUAAAGUUCUUUUCGGGAGGGGGAACAACCGUGGCAGGGAAUGGCCGCGGGAUGACGUGAAUCCCGGAAUAAGCCCCGGCUAACUACGUGCCAGCAGCCGCGGUAACACGUAGGGGGCGAGCGUUGUUCGGAAUCAUUGGGCGUAAAGGGCGUGCAGGCGGUCCUGCAAGUCCGGCGUGAAAGACCCCGGCCCAACCGGGGGGGCGCGCUGGAAACUGCAGGGCUUGAGUACAGGAGGGGAUGCCGGAAUUCCAGGUGUAGGGGUGAAAUCUGUAGAUAUCUGGAAGAACACCAAUGGCGAAGGCAGGCAUCUGGCCAUGUACUGACGCUGAGACGCGAAGGUGCGGGGAGCAAACAGGUUUAGAUACCCUGGUAGUCCGCACAGUAAACGAUGUGCACCAGGUGGCGGGGGGGUCGACCCCCGGUACCGUAGCCAACGCAUUAAGUGCACCGCCUGGGGAGUAUGCUCGCAAGGGUGAAACUCAAGGAAUUGAC